GACGAACGCUGGCGGCGUGCUUAACACAUGCAAGUCGAGCGGUAAGGCCCUUCGGGGUACACGAGCGGCGAACGGGUGAGUAACACGUGGGUGACCUGCCUCUAGCUCUGGGAUAAGCCUGGGAAACUGGGUCUAAUACCGGAUAUGACUCCACGGCGCAUGUUGUGGGGUGGAAAGCCUUGUGUGGCUAGAGAUGGGCCCGCGGCCUAUCAGCUUGUUGGUGGGGUGAUGGCCUACCAAGGCGACGACGGGUAGCCGGCCUGAGAGGGCGACCGGCCACACUGGGACUGAGACACGGCCCAGACUCCUACGGGAGGCAGCAGUGGGAAUCUUGCGCAAUGGGCGAAAGCCUGACGCAGCGACGCCGCGUGAGGGAUGACGGCCUCGG
RNAcentral lists this ribosomal RNA (388 nucleotides) under uncultured bacterium. RNAcentral's name for it is "bacterial SSU rRNA". It matches the Rfam family "Bacterial small subunit ribosomal RNA", at positions 28 to 420 of the family's 1533-position model. The record is from RNAcentral.